This 467-nucleotide ribosomal RNA is filed under the name uncultured bacterium. RNAcentral describes it as "partial 16S ribosomal RNA". It matches the Rfam family "Bacterial small subunit ribosomal RNA", at positions 28 to 507 of the family's 1533-position model. The record is from RNAcentral.
GAUGAACGCUGACAGAAUGCUUAACACAUGCAAGUCAACUUGAAUUUGGGUUUUUAACUUAGGUUUGGGUGGCGGACGGGUGAGUAACGCGUAAAGAACUUGCCUCACAGCUAGGGACAACAUUUGGAAACGAAUGCUAAUACCUAAUAUUAUGAUAAUAGGGCAUCCUAUAAUUAUGAAAGCUAUAAGCGCUGUGAGAGAGCUUUGCGUCCCAUUAGCUAGUUGGAGAGGUAACGGCUCACCAAGGCGAUGAUGGGUAGCCGGCCUGAGAGGGUGAUCGGCCACAAGGGGACUGAGACACGGCCCUUACUCAUACGGGAGGCAGCAGUGGGGAAUAUUGGACAAUGGACCAAGAGUCUGAUCAAGCAAUUCUGUGUGCACGAUGAAGUUUUUAGGAAUGUAAAGUGCUUUCAGUUGGGAAGAAAGAAAUGACGGUACCAACAGAAGAAGUGACGGCUAAAUACGUG